UUCACCCCUCCAUGAUCACAGAGCAGCUUCACUAGAUAUCCAGUUUAUUUCUGAUCACGAGACUGGCCCGUCAGAGUCUGUGAGGAGACAUGCCUCAAUUCAGCAGCCGGAUAGCAGAGCACCUCCUUCUGAGAUUAGAUUGGCUGAUGAUCAGAUAGAGAUGAUAUCUCAGCAUGUAGCUUUCAUACUAUCUCGUCAGAUGGGCACUUCAACUUUUGC
This 219-nucleotide long non-coding RNA is filed under the name Elaeis guineensis (African oil palm). RNAcentral's name for it is "long non-coding RNA (EGUI_LNC044925)". The record is from RNAcentral. Lineage: Eukaryota; Viridiplantae; Streptophyta; Magnoliopsida; Arecales; Arecaceae.